RNAcentral lists this ribosomal RNA (449 nucleotides) under uncultured bacterium. Its description in RNAcentral is "bacterial SSU rRNA". It matches the Rfam family "Bacterial small subunit ribosomal RNA", at positions 329 to 795 of the family's 1533-position model. The record is from RNAcentral.
GACCAGACUCCUACGGGAGGCAGCAGUGGGGAAUAUUGCACAAUGGGGGAAACCCUGAUGCAGCAACGCCGCGUGAGUGAAGAAGUAUUUCGGUAUGUAAAGCUCUAUCAGCAGGGAAGAAGAUGACGGUACCUGAAUAAGAAGCCCCGGCUAACUACGUGCCAGCAGCCGCGGUAAUACGUAGGGGGCAAGCGUUAUCCGGAUUUACUGGGUGUAAAGGGAGCGCAGACGGCUGUGCAAGUCUGGAGUGAAAGGCGGGGGCCCAACCCCCGGACUGCUCUGGAAACUGUAAAGCUGGAGUGCAGGAGAGGUAAGCGGAAUUCCUAGUGUAGCGGUGAAAUGCGUAGAUAUCAGGAGGAACACCGGCGGCGAAGGCGGCCUGCUGGACCGCGACUGACGUUGAGGCUCGAAAGCGUGGGGAGCGAACAGGAUUAGAUACCCCAGUAAAC